RNAcentral lists this ribosomal RNA (465 nucleotides) under uncultured bacterium. RNAcentral's name for it is "partial 16S ribosomal RNA". It matches the Rfam family "Bacterial small subunit ribosomal RNA", at positions 28 to 507 of the family's 1533-position model. The record is from RNAcentral.
GACGAACGCUGGCGGCGUGCUUAACACAUGCAAGUCGAACGGAACGGCCCUGCUUGCAGGGUACUCGAGUGGCGAACGGGUGAGUAACACGUGGGUGAUCUGCCUUGCACUUCGGGAUAAGCCUGGGAAACUGGGUCUAAUACCGGACAGGAGCUAUUUUUAGUGUGAUGGUUGGAAAGUUGUUUCGGUUUUGGGUGAGGUUGGGGCCUAGCAGCUUGUUGGUGGGGUAAUGGCCUACCGAGGCGGCGACGGGGAGCCGGACAGGGAGGGGGGGCGGGCACAGUGGAACUGGGAUACGGCCACGACCCCGACGGGUAGGGGAGGGGGGGAAGAUGGAAAAAGGAGCGCAGGCCAGAUGCAGCGACGCCGCGGGGGGGAUGACGACCUUCGGGUUGUAGACGCAUUUCGCUAGGAACGAAGCUUAUAGUGACGGUACCUAGAUAAUAAGCUCCGGCUAACUACGUG